Molecule: ribosomal RNA, 407 nt
Filed under: uncultured bacterium
Lineage: Bacteria
Description: partial 16S ribosomal RNA
Rfam family: Bacterial small subunit ribosomal RNA
Source: RNAcentral
AUUGAACGCUGGCGGCAGGCCUAACACAUGCAAGUCGAGCGGAGCGGCGGACGGGUGAGUAAUGCCUAGGAAUCUGCCUGGUAGUGGGGGAUACCGUCCGGAAACGGGCGCUAAUACCGCAUACUAUCAGAUGAGCCUAGGUCGGAUUAUCUAUUUGGUGGGUUAAAGGCCUACCAGGGCGACGAUCCGUACCUGGUCUGAGAGGAUGCUCAGUCACACUGGAACUGAGAAACGGUCCAGACUCUUACGGGAGGAAGCAGUGGGGAAGAUUGGACAAUGGGCGAAAGCCUGAUCCAGCCAUGCCGCGUGUGUGAAGAAGGUCUUCGGAUUGUAAAGCACUUGAAGUUGGGAGGCGUUACCAAAAGAAUAAGCACCGGCUAACUUCGUGCCAGCCGCCGCGGUAAUAG